CAACCAAAAAAACCGAAAAAAAUAUAUUUUGCUGUUUUUAGUUCGGUUCGAUUUGGUUUUCGGUUUUGAUAAUAAAAACUCCAACCGAACCGAACCGAACCGGUCAGGUAAAAAACCAAAAAAAACCAAACCCCCCUCCCCCAAAAUGAACGAAACCUAAACCUAACCCAGUAACCCCAUUCGGCAAUUCCCCCAAGCCCCACUCCCAAACGAACCCUAGCCCCUCUCUCCCUACUCCCUAGGUCUCACAGCCUCGCUCUCUGCAACUCCCAUCGCUGGUGAGAGACCUCCUCCCACCACCUCGCAGCCACCGCCACCUUCCUCCCAGCGCAGCCCUUCCACUGCUCCCACCCAGGACCUCCUCGCGGACAGAGCAGCCCAGCACUGCAGCACACAGCCAGCGCCCAGCGCCCAGCAAGUCGGCACCACCCUUGCAAGUCGCACCCACCACCACCCUCAAUAGGAGCUGCAG
Arachis ipaensis is the source of this 472-nucleotide non-coding RNA. Lineage: Eukaryota; Viridiplantae; Streptophyta; Magnoliopsida; Fabales; Fabaceae. The record is from RefSeq and is a predicted model, not a curated record.